UGGCUCAGGACGAACGCUGGCGGCGUGCCUAACACAUGCAAGUCGAACGGGGAUUUGUUUCGGCAGAAUCCUAGUGGCGAACGGGUGAGUAACGCGUAGGCAACCUGCCCUCCGGCCGGGGACAACACUCCGAAAGGGGUGCUAAUACCGGAUACGAAGUCUGUGCCGCAUGGUACGGAUUUGAAAGAUGGCCUCUGUUUACAAGCUAUCGCCGGGGGAUGGGCCUGCGUCCGAUUAGCUGGUUGGUGGGUAACGGCCUACCAAGGCGACGAUCGGUAGCCGGUCUGAGAGGAUGAACGGCCACAUUGGGACUGAGACACGGCCCAGACUCCUACGGGAGGCAGCAGUGGGGAAUCUUCCGCAAUGGGCGCAAGCCUGACGGAGCAACGCCGCCGUGAGUGAGGAAGUUCUUCGGAACGUAAAGCUCUGUUGUUCCUGACGAACCUCCCCUCUAUCAACAACGGAGGGGACUGACGGUAGGGAACGAGGAAGCCACGGCUAACUACGUGCCAGCCGCGGC
RNAcentral lists this ribosomal RNA (520 nucleotides) under uncultured bacterium. RNAcentral's name for it is "bacterial SSU rRNA". It matches the Rfam family "Bacterial small subunit ribosomal RNA", at positions 20 to 518 of the family's 1533-position model. The record is from RNAcentral.